GAUGAAGAACGUAGCGAAAUGCGAUAAGUAAUGUGAAUUGCAGAAUUCAGUGAAUCAUCGAAUCUUUGAAUGCACCUUGCGCCCUUUGGCUAUUCUGAAGGGCAUGCCUGUUUGAGUAUCGUGAACACCUCAACUCUCAUGGUCUGCCAUGAUGAGCUUGGACUUUGGGGGUCUUGCUGGCCUACUGUCAGCUCCUCUCAAAUGAAUCAGCUUACCAGUGUUUGGUGGCACCACAGGUGUGAUAACUAUCUACGCUUGUGGUUUUCUGCCAGGUAACCUCCAGUGAUGGAGGUUCGCUGGAGCUCACAAAUGUCUCUCCUCAGCGAGGACAGCUUUUUGAACGUUUGAUCUCAAAUCAGGUAGGACUACCCGCUGAACUUAAGCAUAUCAAUAAGCGGAGGA
RNAcentral lists this unclassified non-coding RNA (402 nucleotides) under soil metagenome. RNAcentral describes it as "partial contains 5.8S ribosomal RNA, internal transcribed spacer 2, and large subunit ribosomal RNA". The stretch from base 1 to 121 matches the Rfam family "5.8S ribosomal RNA", at positions 35 to 154 of the family's 154-position model. The record is from RNAcentral.